RNAcentral lists this ribosomal RNA (484 nucleotides) under uncultured bacterium. RNAcentral describes it as "partial 16S ribosomal RNA". It matches the Rfam family "Bacterial small subunit ribosomal RNA", at positions 30 to 507 of the family's 1533-position model. The record is from RNAcentral.
AUUGAACGCUGGCGGCAGGCCUAACACAUGCAAGUCGAGCGGAUGAAGGGAGCUUGCUCCUGGAUUCAGCGGCGGACGGGUGAGUAAUGCCUAGGAAUCUGCCUGGUAGUGGGGGAUAACGUCCGGAAACGGGCGCUAAUACCGCAUACGUCCUGAGGGAGAAAGUGGGGGAUCUUCGGACCUCACGCUAUCAGAUGAGCCUAGGUCGGAUUAGCUAGUUGGUGGGGUAAAGGCCUACCAAGGCGACGAUCCGUAACUGGUCUGAGAGGAUGAUCAGUCACACUGGAACUGAGGCACGGUCCAGACUCCUACGGGAGGCAGCAGUGGGGAAUAUUGGACAAUGGGCGAAAGCCUGAUCCAGCCAUGCCGCGUGUGUGAAGAAGGUCUUCGGAUUGUAAAGCACUUUAAGUUGGGAGGAAGGGUAGUAAGUUAAUACCUUGCUGUUUUGACGUUACCAACAGAAUAAGCACCGGCUAACUUCGUG